GAUGAACGCUGGCGGCGUGCCUAAUACAUGCAAGUCGAGCGGACAAAACAGGAGCUUGCUCCUCUUUCGUUAGCGGCGGACGGGUGAGUAACACGUGGAUAACCUACCCCUAAGACUGGGAUAACUUCGGGAAACCGGAGCUAAUACCGGAUAACAUAGUAGACCGCAUGGUUUUAUAUUGAAAGACGGCUUUGCUUUCCACUUACGAAUGAUCCCGCGCCGCAUUACCUAGUUGGUAAGGUAAAGGCUUACCAAGGCGACGAUGCGUAGCCGACCUGAGAGGGUGAUCGGCCACACUGGAACUGAGACACGGUCCAGACUCCUACGGGAGGCAGCAGUAGGGAAUCUUCCGCAAUGGGCGAAAGCCUGACGGAGCAACGCCGCGUGAGUGAUGAAGGUCUUCGGAUCGUAAAACUCUGUUAUUAGGGAAGAACAAAUGUGUAAGUAACUAUGCACGUCUUGACGGUACCUAAUCAGAAAGCCACGGCUAACUACGUG
Molecule: ribosomal RNA, 498 nt
Filed under: uncultured bacterium
Lineage: Bacteria
Description: partial 16S ribosomal RNA
Rfam family: Bacterial small subunit ribosomal RNA
Source: RNAcentral